RNAcentral lists this long non-coding RNA (369 nucleotides) under Linum usitatissimum (flax). Its description in RNAcentral is "long non-coding RNA (LUSI_LNC006603)". The record is from RNAcentral. Lineage: Eukaryota; Viridiplantae; Streptophyta; Magnoliopsida; Malpighiales; Linaceae.
UGACACUAAGUUAAAUCGCAACCAACACCAAACAGGGAUGCCAAGUUCCCAACGGCCGGGAGAUUGUCAAACCAGUUUUUGAUAUUUAGCGUUGGUUGAUUUGUAACCGAUGCAAAAUUUCACAGCUGACGGAAACUUUGUAGUGGGUUUCCAACAAGUGUAAGAAAAACAUUUUGUAGAAAGAAAAUUUACAACACACAAAAAUAUGAAGUACAUAAAAAUGAGUACUAACAAAAAAAAAUAUGUUCGGCAAAUAAAAAAAAAAUCACACUUGAAAGAGAGAGCUUAGAACUCCCUCGAGUUAGGGUUGCGCUCCCCUUGUUUAGGGUUUCAUCGCCGCUCUACUUCUACCACGGCGUAACCCAUUUC